AAACUCCCCGGACCGUCCCAGGCUGGUGCUCCCCGACCCACCCCAGGCUGGUGCUUCCCGAUCCGGACCGUCCCAGGCUGGUGACCGUGUGGGAUUAGCUCUCUGUAACAUGCUGUAGACCAACAUUCAGUGUAACUGCCUCCAGUUAAAGGGGAACCAGGGAUUUAGGGUGGGGGUGUAAAUGCACGGGCAUCACAGCGCCCAGUAUGAAGAAGACGACGCGGCCGGCGGCAAAUAAGGCGAGCUGCGAGCGGGGGAAGGCUGAGCCGGCGCCCGGCGGGGGCGCCAAUAAAGCAGGCGUGAAGACAGGCACGUCGGCGCCCCUUUCCAAGGUUAAAAGCAAUGAUGAUCUGUUAGCAGCCAUGACCGGAGGCAGCGCUGCACCCAGCAGCAAGGCCAAGAGGACCGCCUCCACCGGGACCAGCGGCACCGACGGCAAGCCCAAGACCAGCUCAGGGGCCUCGGCCAAGCGCGCGGCGUCCUCCACGUCCAAGGAGCCGAGCUCGACCAGGGACCGCCUGCGCCCCUCCAGGGCCUCGGCCAACAAGAAGCAGGCGGUGGUGCCGGGGGAUGCGGCCCAGGCCAAGCGCUCACGCAGCCAGGCCCUGGUAGAGUCCGAGGGCCGCAUGUGCAAGUCCAAGUCGGACGGUCAGCUCAGCGACAAGGUGGCGCUGGAGAACAAGGUGAAGGACCUGCUGGGUCUGGCCAAGAGCAAAGACGUGGAGAUCGUGCAUCUGCGCGGUGAGCUGAGAGACAUGAGGGUACAGCUGGGCCUGGGGGGGCCGGAGGAGCAGGACGAGGAGGAGGACGAGGAGGAGGACGAGGUGGCUCCCCCGGAGGCGGCCGGAGAGGGGGAGAAGCCCCCGGUGUCGGCCAUCACGGCGGCGGACGUGGAGUCCACCCUCCUCCUGCUGCAGGAGCAGAACCAGGCCAUCCGGGUGGAGCUCAACCUGCUGAAGAGCGAGAACCGCAUGCUGAAAGACCGGCUGAACGCCCUGGGCUUCUCCCUGGAGCAGCGGCUGGAGGUCACCGAGAAGCUGUUCGGCUACCCCACGCAGAGCCCGGACCCCGCAGCCGGCAGCGGGCAGAGCGACGGCGGGGGCCCCCUGACCUCCUCGGUGGAGGGCUCGGCGCCGGGGUCCCUGGAGGACCUGCUGACGGGCCGGCGGCACGGCGGCUCGGCCGACAACCUGGACAGCGAGUCCAGCGAGGUCUACCAGGCGGUCACGUCCAGCGACGAUGCCCUGGACGCGCCCUCCGGCGCCUCGUCCUCCUCCGAGUCGGAGAGCGCCGCCGGCCGCGGGCGCUCCCGGCGGGGGGGCGGCGGCUCGGGCGGCGGUGGCGGCGGCGGCGGCUCCGCCAGCGAGGUGUCGGUGGCCCGCCUGACGGAGCGCAUCCACCAGAUGGAGGAGAACCAGCACAGCACAGCGGAGGAGCUGCAGGCCACGCUGCAGGAGCUGUCGGACCUGCAGCAGAUCACCCAGGAGCUCAACGGGGAGAACGAGCGCCUGGGCGAGGAGAAGCUCAUCCUGAUGGACUCCCUGUGCCAGCAGAGCGACAAGCUGGAGCAGUACAGCCGGCAGCUGGAGUACCUGCGCUCGCUGCUGGAGCAGCACCACCUGGCCUACACGCUGGAGGAGGACGUCAAGAGCGGCCGCUACAUGGAGCUGGAGCAGCGCUACGUGGACCUGGCCGACAACGCCCGCUUCGAGCGGGAGCAGCUGCUGGGCGUGCAGCAGCACCUCUCCAACACGCUGAAGAUGGCGGAGCAGGACAACGCCGAGGCCCAGGAGAUGAUCGGCGCCCUGAAGGAGCGGAACCACCAGAUGGAGCGCGUGAUGGAGUCGGAGCGGCAGGGCCGGGCGGCCCUGGGCGCGGCCCUGGAGGAGUACCAGGCGGCGGUGGGCAGCGACCAGGCCGAGCUGCAGCGCUGCCGGGCCCAGCUGGAGCAGGAGAGGCAGAAGGUGGCGGAGAUGUACUCGGUCCACACGGCGGGCGACAAGAACGACAUCCGCCUGCUGCUGGAGGCCGUGCGGCUGGACAAGGAGGAGGCGGAGGCCAAGGCCGCCAAGAUGCAGGCGGAGCUGGGACACGCCCACGAUGACCUCAGCAGGAUGCAGGACGCGCUCGGCAAGCUGGACCAGGAGUACCAGGGGUUCCAGCAGCAGGUGCAGAGGCAGAUGGAGGAGACUGAGCGGGUCGUCGAGCAGCAGCGGGCCGAGCUGACGGAGAAGGAGGCGGCCGUGGCCGACAUGAAGGAGACCAUCUUUGAGCUGGAGGACGAGGUGGAGCAGCACCGCGCCGUCAAGCUACACGACAACCUCAUCGUCAGCGACCUGGAGAACUCUGUGAAGAAGCUUCAGGACCAGAAGCACGACAUGGAGAGGGAGAUAAAGAUCCUCCAUCGCAGAUUAAGGGAGGAGUCCAUGGAGUGGCGUCAGUUCCAGGCGGACCUGCAGACCGCCGUGGUCAUCGCUAACGACAUCAAGUCGGAGGCGCAGGAAGAGAUGGGGGACCUGCGGCGGCGGCUGCAGGAGUCCCAGGAGAAGAACGAGAAGCUGGGCAAGGAGCUGGACGAGGUCAAGAGCCGCAAGCAGGACGAGGAGCGGGGCCGGGUGUACAACUACAUGAACGCGGUGGAGCGAGACCUGGCCGCGCUGCGUCAGGGCAUGGGUCUGAGCCGCCGCUCCUCCACCUCCUCGGAGCCCUCGCCCACCGUCAAGACCCUCAUCAAGAGCUUCGACAGCGCCUCGCAGAGCGGCCCGCCAUGCGAAUACCUAGAUCCAUGCGGCGGUGACGAGGGCCCCGCCCCCUCUGGUUCUGCUGCAGGUCCCGCCUCCAACGCCGCCACCCUUCUUCCAACGGCGCCCGUCCCCCCCGCCCAGCUCCCACGCACCCCUCUGAGCCCCAGCCCCAUGAAGACCCCCCCCGCCGCCGCCGUCUCGCCCAUUCAGAGACACUCCAUCUCUGGGUCCAUGUCUUCGUCCAAGCCGCUCUCCUCGCUGAGUGACAAGAGGCCCAGCUACACGGACAUCAACAUGCCAGCCUGUGUUGUGUCCCCAGCGGACCACCUCCUCAGGGGAUCGUCCUCCGGCCGGACCACGGCCGUCCUCCAGAGGGUCUCCACCAUGGACCCCUCCAAGGCCAUCUCGGGUUCCCGUAGGAGCAGCGAGGAGAUGAAGCGGGACAAGUCGGCCCCAGACGGCGCGGCCCCCACCUCCCUGCUGGCUCUUGGCUCUGCCUCCUCCAUGUCGUCCUCCUCCUCCUCCCCCACCGCCUCCGUCACCCCCACCACGCGUGGGCGCCUCAGGGAGGAGAGGAAGGAUCCCCUGUCAGCUCUGGCCAGAGAGUACGGCGGCUCCAAACGAAAUGCUCUCCUGAAGUGGUGCCAGAAGAAGACUGAGGGCUACCAGAACAUCGACAUCACCAACUUCAGCAGCAGCUGGAACGACGGGCUGGCAUUCUGCGCCAUGCUGCACACCUACCUGCCCGCCCACAUCCCCUACCAGGAGCUCAGCAGCCCGGAGAAGAGGAGGAACUUCACUCUAGCCUUCCAGGCGGCUGAAAGUGUGGGAAUCAAAUGCACUCUGGACCUCAACGAGAUGGUGCGCUCGGAGAGGCCUGACUGGCAGAGCGUCAUGACCUACGUGACGGCUAUCUACAAGUACUUUGAGACCUGAGCUCCCCUCAGCACUGAGUCGUCCACCGACCUACAGCCCCCUGCACUCCACCACCCUGAUCCCCGCUGCCCGCAGGCCAGCCCGGCCCUGGAGGGCCGCGGGAGGGGGGGGGGGGGGGGGGGGAAUAUAUUCGGUUAGCUUCAACUGCUUACGCUACCAGGGCAGAGGGGCUCCACUAGGAACAGGAACAGAGACCUGAGGGGGUCCCCAGGCCACACACACUCUGACGGCGCCGUGGUCGCUGGCCCUGCUCUGUGGGAACAUCCGCUACGCGUCUACACCAUCGUCUCUGGGGAACCCAAGUAUUAUGAUUACUAUUAUUACUAUUGUUUAGUCGAGCCUUGCAGAGCGUCUCUGCUUUCAGGACGUGUCCCUUAGGAGACAAACUAGACCAAAGUGUCUUCAACACGGCGACGUGUCCCCAGCACAGCCUUCCUCUUCACCUUCCUCCUCCUGCGCUAGAUGCCUCCACAGACCGAUCUUUAAAGAGGAAUACCUUUCCAUUGGAUCUUGGAGACAUUCCUUGACACACUUCCAAGAGUUUGAAUACCUCUUGAAUGUUUUGGGGAAACUGCAGGAGGACUCGGGGAAGACCAAGAUGGAUAUCAAUAUCUACAGCCUUUUUUUUUUUUUUGCCUUCAGUCUUCCUGUGUGGUCACAGAGACUCCAGUCCAGUUGAUCAAGUGCCUGAGUCAACGCGUUGCAGGAUGCAGGGAGGGAGGCGCUCUGCGGAGCCAGUCCUUCAUGAGACCUUCAGCCAGGAGCCAGGAUUCUGUGCGUUGCCAAAUAUGUACCAGGUUGUCUGAAUGAUUUGAGGAUGGCGUGAUGAUCAACAGCCGGGACUACUACAGGCCCAUCAUUUGAUGUUGUUUUUGGGGCAUUCUGAAGAGGUCAAUCAGUGGAGCUCAGUUGACAGGACGGACCUCUGAGCUCCACCACAGAGCUAGAGUUCACUUCAGCCAUCGUUCUGCUCGGCACAUAGGGCCAACCCCCCCCCCAGGACCAGACCCCCCCUACACACAGGACCAGACCUCCCCACACACAGGACCAGACCCCCCCCCCCAGGACCAGACCCCCCCCCCCCCAGGACCAGACCUCCCCCCCCCCAGGACCAGACCUCCCCACACACAGGACCAGACCUCCCCACACACAGGACCAGACCCCCCCCUAGGACCAGACCCCCCCCAUAUAGGUUUGCUUGCCAAUAAUAGUGUUAUUGAUAUUGUUCCCUGGGUGGGUUAUUGUGUUUCUGAUCUGUGAACUGGUCUGUUGUUUCCUGUCAGAUUCUUAGUGCUAGGCCCCAAGGGGGAGGGGGGGAUUAAGCUUCAUUAUCACUCGUUAUAAAAGUCACUUUCUUAUUAUAUUAUAAAGGUCACACAUCUAGAUUUCCCCCAACGCCUCAAUAUAGCACAGACACACAGGCAAGCACACACACACGCGCAGACACACGCACACACACACGCAGACAGACACACGCAGACACACACACACACUGCAAUAGGAAGAGCGGUGGGCUGGACUGGGCUCCUGGCCUACUUCGGUGGUUGGUAGAUAGCUUUGUAUGAUUAUAAAUAUCUGAACUCUUUAUUUUGGCUCGGUGUUGAACGGUCCCACCUAGAUAAGGAACAUUAUCCACCCCCUGCUUCUUGUGCCUCUGCUACUAACUCAUCGUAUUUAUUGGCAUGCAGCCCACCCAGAAAGGUGGCAGCUGUGUUUCUUGUGUUUUCUGCACAGGAGUCCGUCAUACAAGCUGCACUGACAGAACCGUCUCUCUGUAUUCGUUGACUGCCUUUACCCUCUACUAUGAACCAAUGGGAAUGUAUCCUCACACUUUCACAAACUGGAUCCACAUAUCACCAGGCCUCCUCAUUGGACAAACACCGGCGUCGCUCCAAAGCCCCGUUACAGGUCUGCUCCUCGAUGCCCUCCUCCCUAGUGAGUGUCCGGGGCCUUACAGAGCAGCAGACCCCCUAGUGGGGGUUAUGAGCGACACCUCGGUGAGAGAGAGCUGUGGAGGAAGGGAUUAGGAUGUCACAGACUCCCAGCGAUGUUCUCUGUACAAACCGAGACCUGAUGUCUCCUGGCCUCUAGGGGGGCUGGAGGGGGGCCUUUGGUUCCAGCUCCAUGUGAUCGGGGGUGGGGGGGGGGGGACUGGAAGGUCAAUGGAACUAAUAUAACGACUCCUCCUUCCAUUCAGAAGCACAGUCCUGAAUCUCCCUCACAAUCAAAGCCGGAGAGACAUUCAUCCACCGAUCAUUUAAAGUGACGUGUAUAUAUGUAUUAAUUUUGUGAUGUAUUUAAGGAGGUAUGAUCAAAGUGGCAAUACUAGGAGGUUGCUAGGUUACUGUAUGUCGCCUUUCAUCAACGUGUCAUUAGUUGGGAACGUGCGCCAAACCACUUUUUCCUCGUACAUUCUGUUGCCUCUGAAGGAAUAUGCUAAUAUGCUAAUAUAUAUAUAAUUUGUAAAAAAUAAACAUUUCAACACAUUGGUAUUGGCGAGCUUGGAAUAGAGCUGUUGAACAGAACAAAGAUUUUUUGAAGAGCUCAUUAAAAGUGGGCAACCUCUACUUUACCAAAAGGUACCGUCGCCGGGAAAACGAACCAAUCAGUGUUUUGUUUGAAGUGCAGAGAGAAACUAAUGUGAUUUAGGUGAUUGUUGGUGUGAAAACUCUGCUUUUUUCUUUUUUUAUAACUAAUGCUCUGAGGAAUCCAUGACAUUUCCAGUGAAACCCCCGAGGCCAGCGUCCUGUACUGCCUGCUAAUGCAGAACGGAGGUCCUCCUGUUGGCUCUCGGCCCACGGUGCCUUGACCCAUGAGGAGAUCACAGUGAGAGUGUUUCAAAGGGACUAAGCUAUUAAGUGCACAACAUUAUGAUUAUCCAAGGUGAAACAAGCAGUUCCUUUAUUUAUAUUGCUAUUUUUUUUUUGGAAAUAAUAAUAAAGGACGAUUUGAAAUAAA
This is an RNA transcript of Gadus macrocephalus (Pacific cod), 6638 nucleotides long. It is a transcript of the gene named sperm antigen with calponin homology and coiled-coil domains 1-like a, with no coding region annotated. The transcript is spliced from 17 exons. NCBI's taxonomy places the organism in Eukaryota, Metazoa, Chordata, Actinopteri, Gadiformes, Gadidae. The record is from RefSeq and is a predicted model, not a curated record.